RNAcentral lists this ribosomal RNA (429 nucleotides) under uncultured Acidobacterium sp. RNAcentral describes it as "bacterial SSU rRNA". It matches the Rfam family "Bacterial small subunit ribosomal RNA", at positions 958 to 1385 of the family's 1533-position model. Lineage: Bacteria; Pseudomonadati; Acidobacteriota; Terriglobia; Terriglobales; Acidobacteriaceae. The record is from RNAcentral.
AACGCGAAGAACCUUACCUGGGCUCGAAAUGCAGGAGACCGGGGUAGAAAUAUCCUUUCCCCGCAAGGGGCUGCUGUAUAGGUGCUGCAUGGCUGUCGUCAGCUCGUGUCGUGAGAUGUUGGGUUAAGUCCCGCAACGAGCGCAACCCUCAUCCCUAGUUGCCACCGGGUAAUGCCGAGCACUCUAGUGAAACCGCCCCGGAUAACGGGGAGGAAGGUGGGGAUGACGUCAAGUCCUCAUGGCCUUUAUGUCCAGGGCUACACACGUGCUACAAUGGUCGGUACAAACCGUCGCGAGACCGCAAGGUGGAGCUAAUCGGAAAAAGCCGGCCUCAGUUCGGAUUGGAGUCUGCAACUCGACUCCAUGAAGCUGGAAUCGCUAGUAAUCGCAGAUCAGAACGCUGCGGUGAAUACGUUCCCGGGCCUUGUA